This 1829-nucleotide unclassified non-coding RNA is filed under the name Hevea brasiliensis (rubber tree). Lineage: Eukaryota; Viridiplantae; Streptophyta; Magnoliopsida; Malpighiales; Euphorbiaceae. The record is from RNAcentral.
UUGGAAGGCCCUAAACAGUUUGGUACGUUAGCUGAGUAUACUGCUGUGGAAGAGAAGUUAUUGGCAUUGAAACCCAAGAAUCUGGAUUUUGUACAGGCUGCUGCACUUCCUCUUGCCAUAGAGACAGCAUAUGAGGGUCUCGAAAGGACUGGUUUUUCUGCUGGUAAAUCUAUUCUUGUUUUGAAUGGUUCUGGUGGUGUUGGAAGCCUAGUGAUUCAGGUAUGCAAUCUUGAAUUCAAUUUUCCUUUUCUAAUACCAUGAGUUGACUCAUGACUGACAGUUAUUGUGAAAGAUAAAUGCUUGUGUUUGCUUCUUAUCUAAUAGCAAGUUGUUUGAAGAAAGACCUUUACUUUUCAGUUUCAGCAACUAUGAAAGUGUAAAUCCAUUGUAUGUUCCACCAUCCAUAGAUGGGUUUGAUUGUUGUCAGAAUUUUACAAGCUUCGUAUCAAUCAUAUAGUUGUUUAUUUCCUGUUUAUGUUUGUUGUGACUUCUUUAAUUAUCUAUAGCUUCUGAUUGUCUCUGGCUUUCCUCAGCUUGUGUUUCCUAUUGAACUUGUUUAGGUUGUCAAUUACAGCAUCCUGUGGGCUGUUAAAAUCAUGCAAUGAAUGGGCUAAUCUUCAUGGGUAGAAGAAUGAAACCAAAAGAAAAUGAAGAAUUGCAUUAAACUGAGUUCACUAGAAUUGGGAACAGGAUUUGUGCCAACAACGUCAAAUUCUUGGAACAUGAAUAUGCUUUUGUAAUGAUUAGUCUAGAAAGAAACAUGUAUCCUAUACUUGCACAUAUAUGUGUAUAAAAUCUUGAUCUGCUUGGUGCAGCUCGCAAAACAUGUGUUUGGUGCUUCUAAAGUUGCAGCUACUUCAAGCACUAGAAAUUUGGAGAAGUUAAAGAGCUUGGGUGCUGAUUUAGCUAUUGACUACACUAAGGAAAACUUUGAAGAUUUGCCAGAAAAGUUUGAUGUGGUAUAUGAUGCUAUUGGUAAGCUUUUGUACUAACUGCUAUACUGGUUUUGGGAAGCUAUUAGCAUUGAUCUUUGUCCAUCACUUUGAAAGUAGCCAAAAUAAGUAAUUCAUAUUAAAUUUUGGCAAAGUUUUGGUUUGCAUUCAAUUUGAUGAAACAAUGUCUUUAUUUUUAUUUAUUCAAAUGUUGAUGACAGGGCAAUGUGAUAGGGCAGUGAAGGCUGUGAAAGAAGGGGGCAGUGUAGUGGCCUUAACUGGUGCAGUCACACCCCCUGGUUUUAGAUUUGUGUUGACUUCCAAUGGAGAAGUUCUUAAGAAACUAAACCCAUAUUUGGAGAGUGGAAAGAUAAAGCCAGUAAUUGAUCCAAAAGGGCCAUUCCCAUUUUCCAAGGUUGCUGAAGCUUUCUCAUACAUUGAAACUAACCGAGCUACUGGCAAGGUUGUUAUACAUCCAAUUCCAUGAUGAAGUAGAAAAUGGGGCCAUUUUGUAAUGCACUAUAUAUAUAUAAUUCGAGUUACAGACUUUGAAUGCUCAAUUCCAAUGUCAGAUGGAUUGGUGGUUUCUACUUUCUACCUUAGAAAUAUGCAGGGUAAGUGCUGAUUCCUUCGGUGACUUGCCUUUCUUGGCAAGGGGGAAGUGCCAUUAGGCCGAAGAGCUCGUCAGAUGGGCUGGGCAUAAAAAGUUCUGUCUCGUCCUACCAAGAUAAAUGGAAAGAAGAUAUUUGAUAGCUAGGUUUCAAAUUAUUGUGUAUUGCUGCUAAUUUUAGUACUUGCAUUGCUCUCAAGAUUAAAAAAAAGAAAAAUAUCUAAUGAAACUAAAAUAAAUUUAUUGUGCUAAGCCCAAAAAUAAAUGCAUUAGAGAUGGAUGGAUAG